CUAAUGUGAUGAAAACAUUUGUAAACAUUCGCAGUUUCCUCAGGAGUGCACGCAUAGAACCCAAUCUAGUGUAUAAAUGACUGUUAUUAUCCUUCCUUGGAUGUCUGAUUAG
RNAcentral lists this small nucleolar RNA (112 nucleotides) under Ascoidea rubescens DSM 1968. RNAcentral describes it as "Small nucleolar RNA SNORD14". It matches the Rfam family "Small nucleolar RNA SNORD14". Rfam says of the family: U14 small nucleolar RNA (U14 snoRNA) is required for early cleavages of eukaryotic precursor rRNAs. In yeasts, this molecule possess a stem-loop region (known as the Y-domain) which is essential for function. A similar structure, but with a different consensus sequence, is found in plants, but is absent in vertebrates. The record is from Rfam by way of RNAcentral. Lineage: Eukaryota; Fungi; Ascomycota; Saccharomycetes; Ascoideales; Ascoideaceae.